This 233-nucleotide long non-coding RNA is filed under the name Ananas comosus (pineapple). RNAcentral's name for it is "long non-coding RNA (ACOM_LNC036924)". The record is from RNAcentral. Lineage: Eukaryota; Viridiplantae; Streptophyta; Magnoliopsida; Poales; Bromeliaceae.
AACAAGUCAUAGUUCAUAGUUCAUAGUUAAGCACCUAAACAACCAUCAUCAAAUUUACACAAAAAUAAACAUCAUCAUCAUCAUGAGCCAUCAUCAUAUCAUCUCCCCCUUUUUGUCAGAAAGCGCCAAAAUGACAAAGGAGGAACCCCGUAAUAUCUAAUCGGAAUCAUCCCCUGGAGGUAAAUCUGCUCGGCAACAUCCUAACUUGUCAAAAAUCGCUGCAUUAACCGCUU